RNAcentral lists this long non-coding RNA (5604 nucleotides) under Sus scrofa (pig). RNAcentral's name for it is "lncRNA (ENSSSCG00000057568.1)". Lineage: Eukaryota; Metazoa; Chordata; Mammalia; Artiodactyla; Suidae. The record is from RNAcentral.
UGGUUAACGAAUCUGACUAGGAACCAAGAGGUAGCAGAUUCAAUCCCUGGCCUUGCUCGGUGGGUUAAGGAUCUGGCGUUGUCAUUGCUCUGGUGUAGGCCUACAGCUACAGCUCUGAUUAGACCCCUAGCCUGGGAACCUCCAUAUGCCAUGGGAGUGGCCCAAGAAAUGGCAAAAAGACCAAAGGAAAAAAAAAAAAGAAUCUCUAUCCAUGUUGCUGCAAGUGGUAUUAGUUUAUUCUUUUUUAUGGCUGAGUAGUAUUCCAUUAUAUAUAAAAUCUUCUUUCUUGGCAAAGGUUUUUUUCAUAAAGUUGAGUCAAGAAGUCAACCACAGCCUCAGUCAUCUGAAAAGUUGUCUAUGGCUUGGUUAUCUGCUUCAAUCAUUCACAUGAUUAUUGGCAAGAGAUCUUAGUUCCUUGUCAUGUGGGCCUCUAUCUCCAGCUACUUGAGUGUCAACUGGCAGUUGGCUUCCUUAAAGUGAGUGAUCCAAGUGAGAGAACAAGCUGAAAUCAAAAUAGUUUUUGUCCUAUGAAAAAGAAAGUCAUGUGACAGCACUUCUACUUUCUAUAGUCCAUAGGAGAGGGAAAUUAAGUUCCAUUCUUUGAAGAGAGCAUUAUCAAAGAAUUCGUGGGCAUAUUUAAAAGCCAACACAGUUUGUUAAUGAGAAAUGCCAUCAUCUGAAAGUAAAUGGUAGUUACUGGCUGAGGCUUCUGGGAAGGGAUCUGUAUCAAUUAGGAUCCUAGCAGGAAAUAGAUAAUUUCAAGAAUGUUUAAUAAAGGGAUCAUUUACAAAGACGCAUUCUGCAUAAGUGGAAGCCACAAAGGAUACUAAAUUCCCAUGGCGUUAAUGCAGUUAACCAUCCCGAGGGGCUGAGGAAUAGAAUAAUUCCUGGAAUCUGAAGAAGGGAGUCCUGUGGAAAAGGCUGCCUUUGGUUGAGGGAUAUAGCCAGAUAAACAUUAGCUUAGAGAACAGGACUUCUGGCAUAAAUACCACAACCUCCUUUCCUCUUUCUUCCCCUUCCUUCUGACAGGGUUAUUCUUUAGCCAGACUGAACUGACAGCUAGGUCAAAGGAGACUGUUAAUGUGAUCCAUUAUCCAUCAGAGUAGAGGUCAGGUGGAGGGUAGAUCGGGCAGUCCAAACAGAGGAUCUCUUUCAUAAGAUGAGACUUAAACUUGAAUGAAAGAUGAGUAAUAAGGAGAUCUGUUGAGAUAAGGAAAUGUAUGUGGGAUUUAAAAAAAGAACUAAAAGGCUAUCAAAACAGAGCUUAUGUGCUAUGGAGAGGCUGAAGUAGGCUGGACAUUGCAAUGGAUGGAGCCAUGUUAUUGAGUCUUGAGAGAGGCAGGGGUUUAGAGUUCCUCUAAGAGGUAGCACAUUACAGUUCUUAAACAGAGAUGCUCCAAGACAGUUAUUAAUGGGAUGGGGUUCCCACUGUGGCACAGAGGAAAUAAAUCUAUUAUCCAUGAGGAUGUGGGUUCAAUCCCUGGCCUCGCUCAGUGGAUUGGGGAUCAGUUUGGCUAUGAACUGUGGUAUAGGUCACAGAUGUCACUCGGAUCCCUCGUUGCUGUGGCUGUGGGACUGUCACCCCAAUUCGACCAUUAGUCUGGGAAUUUCCAUAUGCCACAGGUGCAGCCCUGAAAAAAAAAAAAAAGGAAUGGGAGAGGAGGGGAAAAUCUAGGAGACAUAUCUGUUUAGAUAUUGGGAAUGAAUAAUGUCAAUAAAAAUUUCAUUUUGAACAACCUUUUAGGUAAAAUAAAUACUACAUACUAAUGGUCAAAUGAAUAAAAAUGUGAAUUUGUUGUAAUGUGGUAUCUGUGCUUACAGACUCAUGCUUUCUAGAAUUUUCCAAAACUGCAAGCAAGCAAGCCUGUAAUCAUAAACAUUUAAAUUCUAGAACAAUUAUAUAAUAUUGAAGUAUGGGCCUAGGAAUGAAAAUAAUGUUAUAAUAGCAAUAGUCAUGACAAACUCGUCACCAACCUUUUUCUGGAGAUCUGCUCUUUGAAUGAUAUAGGCAUGGGCUAAGUGUUGGUUGGGUAUAGCAUUUAUUCAUGCAUCCAUCUGUGGCUUGGGUACUUAGUAGGAAAGUCCUAUGAGAUUCAUGUUGUCCCAUCUUAUUUGAUUUGAAACACACAUAAAUUGUAAUAUUUCAUAUGUACAUGAGAUACUGCAAUGAAAAUAAGCCUAUGUAAUAAGCAACAUUGGUAUUUAUGCUAUAGUUUAGGAAAAAAAAUAAGAGUAUGGUUAAGCUUAAGAUGAGUCCUGCUUGAAUUACACCCAUUCAUUUAGCAAAAUCUGACCUGCUAUCAAUACAAUAAUUCAGAGGGAAAAAGUAGCAAUAAAUACUUAGUGAUAUUAAUGCAGAGUGGGACGUGUGAGAGAUAUAUGACUGAUUAUACUCAGUGACUUUAAUAUUACAUUUUCUUGUAAGCCCAGUGAGAUGUUAACUGUGAAUUUCCUAGCUGCACUCCCACACACUUAGAAUGUAGAGAUAAUUGAUGUUAACAGAGAUGACCCUUGAGUGCCCACUGAGUUAAAAAAAAAAAAAAAGAGCAUAUUACAUUCUGAAUAGGUUUUCUUUGUGUUAUAGGUUCUUCCUGAUACUGUGAAAAGUAUCAAUGCAGUUAAGAGUUUUAAAACAAUUAGAAUAAGGAGUAAGGAUGAUUCUUGUUCAGCUCUUACCUAUCAUUAUUUCCAGGGCUUAAUACCCAUACAAGACCUUCCAGAAACUAAAUGUCUUAGAGACAUGAACACUUAUAAACUUUGAAAAACAUUAUUCAAUAUAUUGCUAAUUAACACUCAUUCAUUCAAAUUUUUGAGUAUCCAGAAGCUGAAAGUCAUAAUUGUGUGCUGAAAGAUAAAAAUAUGUUCCAGCCCUGAUGGAGAUUGCAAGUUAUCCCUGAUGGAGAUCACUUUUAAUAAAUAAACUCAAAUGAUUAAUUUACCACCGUAAUAAGAGCUACAAUGAGCUAUACAGAUGCCAAGAAUAAAACAGCAGUGGUCUAAUCUGGUGAGUUAGAGGAUGUUAAGCUCUGUUAGCAUCAGUGUCACAGCUAACGUCUCCCUCUUUAAUAGAAAAUUAACCGUUAAAUCAAGGAAUGUAGCACCAGCUAUGGGCCAAAUAACCACCAACAUCUCUUUCCCAAAUAAACUUUUUCUUUUCCAAUAAAAUUAUUGAAGUUCAUCUUGCAGACCUUCAUGUAGGCAUGGGAACCAGUGAAAGAGUCAGGGAGAUUUUUGGUGUGAGGCGGUUCUAACCUCAGUGUUUUCACAAUGGCCUCUAAGAAAGAGUGACCGCCCCCCACAUGAUCUCUUUAUCAAAAGUCAGAAGUGGAAAAUGAAAUGUAUCUGAAGUAGUCCCAUUCCAUGGCUAUUAAACACAAACUCAAUCUAAUAGAACCUGUAUAUUUAUCUUAAUAAUUGACCCUAGCUCUGUCCUGUGCUGUUAUUCGUCAUUGGAAAAGGAAGGAAAAUACACAGAUAGUGGACUGGGUAUGUGGCAAGAGCCCUAUACCCAGGUUGUCUGGGUCAAGCCCAAGAAGGGAAGUGAAGAGACUCUGGGGGCUUAAAAAGAUGCAAAGUGGCACUGUCAAAUGUAAAAGAGGCUGAAAUGAAAGGCUUGGGACUCAUUAGCAGAGUACUAGAAUAUCAUCUUUCCUGUAGCACUCAAUUUUCAAAGUUGUGGUUAGAUUAUUUGAAAGGUUGGGAAAUUAGUAAUGCUAUGUUGUAUACAUGUAUGUAUGUGUAUGUAAUGCAUACACACAUUUAUGAUUUGAAAUAAUCUAUUUAAAAAUGGAAAUUAUAGAGGUCAAACAGAAAAACAACUCAAAGAGGAAAUAUCCAAAUAGCCGAAGUAAGGGAAAUGCUAUUGUGUAAGCAACCACUCUCCACAAGCAGCUGGAUAAUAAAACUGCACAGGUCAGAAAGAGGUCACUCAAGACAUUGCCUGACCAGCCGGAGCCUGGAUCCUCCCACAAGCCUCAUCUCAUUCUGUGCUUAGAUUUUCCUGCAAAUCAUGGUAAUUGGGAAUCAGCUCACACAGCUGUGAACCACAGCUCACAGAUACAAGAGAACAAAUUUAAAGUUGAGCUUCUCUGCUGGAGAGAGAAGGGAAGUGACUUGUUUAUGUACCAUUUCAUCACUCUCUCCAAGAGGCACUAGCCUUGGGUUAUGUUCCAUUAAAGGUGUAGUGACAUGGUUUUAAAACAAGUGGAAGAUUGGUCUGUUAUUAGAAUUAGGGAAUUUGGAUUCAAUUCUAAGUUAAAAUCAUGAAAUAUUAGUGCUGCAAGGAAGCUAGCUGCAAUAUAAUCCAGUUUUCUCCUUUCAUUGCUGAGAGUUUUUUGACCUAGAGAUGUAAAGAUUUGUUAAGUUAGUUAAUGAUAGUAUCUGGACUAGAAUCCUCAUCGGUCUGUAUUACUACUUCUAUAAUGUUAUUCCUUCACUCUUGGGAAGAAUAUCCCUGGUACCCUGAGCCUCAUGCCAAUCAACUGUAGCAAUCUUUCUUCCAUGUCUGCAUUAUUUAUGAUAUUUAAGAGUUUUCCAAUUGAGGACUCUGUCAUAUGGUUUAUCAUUUUUGUCUUGCCAUCCUCAUAUCUGUUUUCAUCCAGGUGACUUCAUAACCAUAUCGAUUGUUAAUCUAUUUACUAAAUUCAGGUUUUCUUUCCAUGUUUUACUCUAUUUAUCUUCACUUGCUUUAGCAAUCAGUUCCAGUUAUCCCAUCCUUUACCAUUUGUUCAUCAGAACUAUAUCAAUUACAUCAUGUCUAAAAUCUCAAAAUCUAGUAUCUUAAUAUCUGAUUAUAAUCCUAUUCUUUUAGAUUACACAUCAUUUUUCAUUCUUCUACCUAUAUUAGUUACAGAUAAGGUGUGAAACAGACCCCAAAUCCAAGGACUCUUCCUCAUGUAAUAGUUUGCAAGUGGGUGUCAAGGGUGACAAGGUCAUCAAGGAACUCAAAUUCCUAUCUUUUGGUUCUGCUGCUCUGGAGGGACCUCUCUUUGUUCACAUAUUUGAAGCUGGUUUACUACUAUAAGCUGGAAUGAUAUAUAUAUAUUCCAAAACUCAGAAAAAAAAAGAGAGAAUGAAGAACUAGCAACUUUCUUAUUAAAAGAUGUGGGAGUUCUCUUGUGGCACAGUGGAUUGAGGAUCCUGUGUUGUCACUGCAGUAGCUUGGGUCACUGCUUUGGAAUGGGUUUCAUCUCUGGCCCAGGAACUUCCGCAUGCCAUGGGUGAGGCCCAAAAAAAAGGACUCAAAAAUUGCACAUAUUCCCAUUUGAUAUCCUAUUGGCUAAAGUUUGGCUACAUGUUCAUGCCUUAUGUCUUAGUCUGUACAGGCUUCUAUAACAAAAUAUCAUAGAUUGAGUGGCUUCUAAACAAUAGAAACUGGAGUUCCUGUCUUGGUGCAGUGGAAAUGAAUCUGACUAGGAACCACGAGGUUGUGGGUUCGAUCCCUGGCCUUUCUCAGUGGGUUAAGGAUCUGACAUUGCCAUGAGCUGUGGUGUAGGUCGAAGAUGUGGCUGGGAUCCUGCGUUGUUGUGGCUGUGGCGUAGGCCGGCAGUUGUAACUCUGAUUUGACCCCUAGCCAGGGAACCUCCAUAUGCUGUGAGUGUGGCC